GGCGGCGUAGCCAAGUGGUAAGGCAUGGGCCUGCAAAGCCUUGAUCACCGGUUCGAAUCCGGUCGCCGCCU
This 71-nucleotide transfer RNA is filed under the name Bradymonadaceae bacterium TMQ3. RNAcentral's name for it is "tRNA-Cys". It matches the Rfam family "tRNA". From Rfam's summary of the family: Transfer RNA (tRNA) molecules are approximately 80 nucleotides in length. Their secondary structure includes four short double-helical elements and three loops (D, anti-codon, and T loops). Lineage: Bacteria; Deltaproteobacteria; Bradymonadales; Bradymonadaceae. The record is from RNAcentral. RNAcentral also lists the same sequence under 5 other names.